Long non-coding RNA from Cyprinus carpio (common carp), 2645 nucleotides. RefSeq lists it as uncharacterized. NCBI's taxonomy places the organism in Eukaryota, Metazoa, Chordata, Actinopteri, Cypriniformes, Cyprinidae. The record is from RefSeq and is a predicted model, not a curated record. The transcript has 3 exons.
AACAUCUUCAGUGAAAGUGCACACAGUGAACGUUUCAAUGGCAAGAACAAAAACAAUCUGUGAAUGUCCUAUUACAGACGGAAAGGUACAAAAAAAGAUGUGCAAUCUAGCAAGUGCACACAUGAACUAUAAACAGUACUAAAAUGGAAGUGGUGCCAUAAGAUCUCAGUAAUUAAUCAGACACCACCAUCUAUUGUGUGUGCAUUUGUGUAUGAGAAGUUUGUUUGUAUUUUUUUUCUUUUUAUGAGAGAAGAGGCAUUGACAUAGAAUGGAAGCAUUAGUCAAAAAGGUGUAUAAUCUAGCAAAUGCACACACAAUAAAUUAAAUCACGACAUCAUUAAAAUAUUUCCACUUAAAUGAGUUAUACCUUUGUGCAUCCUUUGGAAAUCGAUGAAAUGCCAAAUCGCUCCUGGUGGACUGGUAAUUUUUGCAAUUUAUUGCAGAACACUGCUUGCGUUUUGACCACUUGCUCAUCUUCUUCACAGUUUGGUUGUGUGGCGCGCUAACGAUUUCAGCAGCUUUCAGUCCAUAAUGGUGGCCGCGCUUCCGCAGCGCCAUCUACAGACUGUUACCCAUAACACAACAGAGUUUCGCCUCUUGGGCUUCUAUACUCUGUGGUGUUAAAUGUAUGCAUCAUCUUUUGUGUCAAAUUCUUACAAUUUAAUCAGUCAUUUAAAUGAGAGUAACAACACACAAUAGAGCUGAUGAAUUCGUAUCAAAAUUAAUCUUUUCAAUGCUCACUUGGAGUGAAUGAUAACUUAAUUAAUAGCCUACCUAUUAAGAAUUCAUUAAUAAUGCCUUGAUUUUAAACAUAACGUUAAAACAAUAAAUAUAAAUAAUUAAAACUGUACGUUAAAUGUGAAAACCUAAUCAAACUUAAAACCUAAUCAAAAUCAAAAUAAGAGUCAAUGAUCAUGACACAAACACAUUUUAAGCCUCAGUGUUUUCAACAUCUAGGGCUUCUGCGGCCUCGAUAAGGUCCAGGGAUUCUGCAUCCUCGGCUGUAUCCAGGGAUUUUGCGGCCUCAGUUGGAUCCACGGCCUCAAGUUUCAGCACACGAUGAUGAAUAUGCUGGACUUUUAAUGUAAUUGGCAGCUGUUGAAUCAAGUCAUUUAUAUUGCCAUGGUAAAAAUGGCUUGGUACAGCAUAGUCUUCUAGCUCACUGUCCAACAGGAUGAGCAUAUUAUUAUCAUCCUCGUACACUCUGAUAAUUGUCAGCACUGCUUCACGGAUCUGGCGCUCUACGAUCUGGUGAAAAAUAAAGGUUAAGUCGUAUAGUUGGAGGAGUCAAAUUUGCCUCCUCCAUUGGGCCGAAUUUUUGCCCUUAGGUGGCUGACCUCCACCUUAUCCCCGACGUACAGGUCCAUCAGCGCCUCUUCUCUCCACAAAGUUACCUCCAGAAGUUUUGUUCCAGACCUCAAAGAAAGGUCCAGGAGGGGAUACUGGGCCCGAGUCAUCCUGGCCACUUGCAACUGGAAAAUACCAGCCCAGUGUCACAGAUGAGCGUUUCUCAGUCCUGGUCCAGGUGUCCCCAACGCUGAAUAUUUUCUGUGUAUUCCCAAUCAAGACUCAGGUACCCAGGGCUUGUGAAGAUCUCCUGUUCUUCCCCAGUUACAAAUGGGGAAGGAGGAUAGAGGACCUCUUUAGCAGCUCUCUCUGCCUCCUCGGUUAUGGCCAAUGGGGAGGUUUUAUAUUUCCUGCCUGACCGGUUUAAAAAAAUACACUGCCGGCCAUAUUGUUUUGAAAGGGUAAGAUUUUUGAUGAUGUACGACCCACCUUCUUCAAACUCUGGGUCACUUCCAGUUUUUAUCGAGGUGUACCAUGUCUGUCCAUCAGUAAGGACUGACAGUGUGAUCACCUUGUGUGCUCCAACAUCAAUUAUAUUGUCUUUGGUGACGAAAUUUAAAGCCUUCUGGCUCCUGCGGCUACCCACACACUUUACUUUUAGCGGUGCUUGCUGACUGUAGGGGGUCGCCAUCCUAAGAAUAAUACAAAAAAAAAGGGUAUGGUUAUAACUUUCAUAAUGUUUUCAUUGACUUUCUAAAACAUGAAAAUAUCAUGAUACAUGACCUGUAUAUAUAGCCAACUUAUAACAUAUCAUUACUAAUUUAUUAUUGAUAUAUUUUUCUUUCCAUAUUCUAUUACUGUACUUUAUUGCAUUAUAUCUUUUUCAUUGUCUUUAUAUUGUGUCAUUUAAUUUGUGUAAUUAUCUUUUUUUAACUUCAUAUUUCACAGAAAUUCAUUCAUUCAUGUUGUUGUAUUUAUAGUUUAGUUUAGAUUUAUUAAAGUCAAUGAUAAAAUUUCUAAUGAAGUAAAGUUUGACCUCAGAAAAUGAACUCAACCUUAGCCAUAACCCUAUGGACGGCCCCUUUUCCAAUCCCUAACAGAUUUUUUUAUUUAAUAAAUAUUUACAUCACAAGAAAUGUUAAUCAACUUCCAAUUAAUAAAUUAAUCGCGUCAAUACAUUUCUUGUGAAGUAAAAAUUUACCUCAGAGAAUUACAUUUCCUGCCAGGAAGUGGAAAAAGAGCAGCCUCUGACAGGAUUCAUUUUUUAAACUUCAUACUCUGACAGGACUUCUCUCUUUUUUUACUUAAUAUUUCACAGGAAUCUAUUUAUUUAUUCAUGUAGUUGAUUUAUAAAUUGA